This 497-nucleotide ribosomal RNA is filed under the name uncultured bacterium. RNAcentral's name for it is "partial 16S ribosomal RNA". It matches the Rfam family "Bacterial small subunit ribosomal RNA", at positions 28 to 507 of the family's 1533-position model. The record is from RNAcentral.
GACGAACGCUGGCGGCGUGCCUAAUACAUGCAAGUCGAGCGCUGAGGUUUGGUACUUGUACCUCCUGGAUUAGCAGCGAACGGGUGAGUAACGCGUGGGUAAUCUACCUGUGAGCGGGGGACAACAUUUGGAAACGGGUGCUAAUACCGCAUAAAAACUUUAAACACAAGUUUUAAUUGUGAAAGAUGCAAUUGCAUUACCCAAAGAUUGUCCCGCGUCCUGUUUGCUAGUUUGUGAAGUAAAAGCCUCACCAAGCGAUCAUACAUAGACAGCCCUGGAGGGUGAUCCGCCCAAUUGGGAAUGGGAACCGGCCCCAAACCCUAAGGGAGGCCGCAGUAGGGGAUCUUCCGGCAUGGACGAAAGUCCGACCGAGCAAAGCCGCGGUAGUGCAGGAGGUUUUCGGGUCGUAAAACUCUGUUUGUAGGGAAGAACGUUAGUGGGAGUGGAAAGCGCAUCAAGUGACGGUAACUACUCAGAAAGCGACGGCUAACUACGUG